CCUACGGGUGGCAGCAGUGAGGAAUAUUGGUCAAUGGACGCAAGUCUGAACCAGCCAUGCCGCGUGCAGGAAGACGGCUCUAUGAGUUGUAAAUCGUUUUGGUACGAGGGUAAACGCAGAUACGUGUAUCUUUCUGAAAGUAUCGUACGAAUAAGGAUCGGCAAACUCGGGGCAAGCAGCCGCGGUAAUACGGAGGCAUCAAGCGUUAUCCGAAUUUAUUGGGGUUAAGGGGUGCGCGGGCGGUCGGAUAAGUUAGUGGUGAAAUCCCGAGGCUCAACUUCGGAAUUGCCUCUGAUACUGUUCGGCUAGAGAGUAGUUGCGGUGGGCGGAAUGUGUGGUGUAGCGGUGAAAUGCUUAGAGAUCAUACAGAAAACCAAUUGCGAGGGCAGCUUACCAAGCUACUUCUGACGUUGAGGCACGAAAGCGUGGGGAGCAAACAGGAUUAGAUCCCCAGUAGUC
Molecule: ribosomal RNA, 459 nt
Filed under: uncultured bacterium
Lineage: Bacteria
Description: partial 16S ribosomal RNA
Rfam family: Bacterial small subunit ribosomal RNA
Source: RNAcentral